CCUUCAGGACCCGCCUCAGGGGGCACCGCGGCGGCUUGGGGACCACUUGGAGCCCCGUCCUGGGGAGAAAACAGCUCACGUCUAUGGCCCUGACUGCUUAGGCGGGAGCUGCGUGCAGCUCAGCUUCUCCGGGGCAUUUUUUUCUACACGGUUAUUGCUCUGUCACCCAGGCUGGAGUUCAGCAGUGCGAUCUUGGCUCAUUGCAGCCUUGAACCUCCCGGGCUCAAGUGAUCCUCCCUCCUCAACCUCCCAAGUAGCUGGGACUACAGCUGGGUGAGCUAUGAACAGGCCAACUGCAAGGGCGAGCAGUUUGUGUUUGAGAAGGGCGAGUACGCCCACUGGGACUGGUGGACCAGCAGCCAGAGGACAGACUCAGCAGCCUGAGGCCCAUCAAAGUGGACAGCCAAGAGCACAAGAUCAUCCUCUAUGAAAACCCCAACUUCACCGGGAAGAAGAUGGAAAUCAUAGAUGACGAUGUACCCAGCUUCCACGCCCAUGGCUACCAGGAGAAGGUGUCAUCUGUGUGGGUGCGGAGUGGCAUGUGGGUUGGCUACUAGUACCCUGGCUACCGUGGGCUGCAGUACCUGCUGGAGAAGGGAGACUACAAGGACAGCAGCGACUUUGGGGCCCGUCACCCUCAGGUACAGUCCGUGCGCUGCAUCCACGACAUGCAGGG
RNAcentral lists this long non-coding RNA (676 nucleotides) under Homo sapiens (human). RNAcentral's name for it is "long non-coding RNA NONHSAT192160.1". Lineage: Eukaryota; Metazoa; Chordata; Mammalia; Primates; Hominidae. The record is from RNAcentral.